This is a long non-coding RNA of Homo sapiens (human), 477 nucleotides long. Ensembl annotates it as PAQR9 antisense RNA 1. Its record names the gene PAQR9-AS1. The record is from Ensembl. Lineage: Eukaryota; Metazoa; Chordata; Mammalia; Primates; Hominidae.
GGUGAAGAUGUGGAAGAGCUGGUGGCUGUGGCCGAUAAUGUCGAAAAGACCCGGCUGGAUGCGCUCGGGGAUCUUGCUCACGUUGAAGAAGGCGGCCACCACCAGCCAGAAGUAGCGGCGGUAGAAGUGCACGAAGAGUGUGGGGUUCUCCCCACGCAGGUCGAAGAGCCAGCUCUCGAGCAUAAUGGGGCAGGCCAUGCUGAGCGGCAUGACGAAGACGAAGGUGCGCAGCGCGAACGGGACUUCUAUUUGGAACUGAGUCCGACAGCUCAGGACUGGCUGCUCAAACUCCACAAUUUAAUGAAAAAUCUCAGAUGAUGACUCAGAAAACCUCUAAUGAUCUGAGGAAUAUAUUAAGGGAUUCCAGAGUCAAAGGCUGAUCAUGGAGGGCAUUGAUGAGGGAAGACUUCAGGUGGCUGGAGACCAGAAGAAAGGAACACUGGAAGAAUGAAAACGGUUGUGAUGCACUGCAGUGUG